This 400-nucleotide ribosomal RNA is filed under the name phytoplankton environmental sample. Its description in RNAcentral is "partial small subunit ribosomal RNA". It matches the Rfam family "Eukaryotic small subunit ribosomal RNA", at positions 587 to 990 of the family's 1831-position model. The record is from RNAcentral.
AGCUCCAAUAGUAUAUAUUAGUGUUGUUGCAGUUAAAACGCUCGUAGUUGGAUUUUGGACUGGCCCGCGUGGUCCGCCGCAAGGUGUUGCACUACGUGGGUUUGUCUUCCUUUCUAGAGACGCGGCAUGCUCUUUACCGGGUGUGCCGAUUUGAUCUAGAACAUUUACUUUGAAUAAAUCAGAGUGUUCAAAGCAGGCCUUCGCUUGAAUACAUUAGCAUGGAAUAAUGAAAUAGGACUUUGGUCUUAUUUUGUUGGUUUCUAGGACCGAAGUAAUGAUUAAUAGGGAUAGUUGGGGGCAUUUGUAUUUAAUUGUCAGAGGUGAAAUUCUUGGAUUUAUGAAAGACAAACUUCUGCGAAAGCAUUUGCCAAGGAUGUUUUCAUUAAUCAAGAACGAAAGU